This 797-nucleotide long non-coding RNA is filed under the name Fragaria vesca (wild strawberry). RNAcentral describes it as "long non-coding RNA (FVES_LNC002954)". The record is from RNAcentral. Lineage: Eukaryota; Viridiplantae; Streptophyta; Magnoliopsida; Rosales; Rosaceae.
AUAUAAGGAAUUACACAAUACCAAUAUGGUAAGGAUAUGAAUACAUAGAUCUAGUCUAACUACAUAUCCUAUUGGCAUAAGGCCAAGGCACACAUAGAGAAUAUCCUAGAACACUCGUCUAAUUAUAACCAGUUUUAGUAAAAUGGUCAAUGACAACGAUUUCUUGAUUUAGUUUUAAAAACUUAACUAGAACUGACUCCAACAAAAAACAUAGGUUCAUAGGGUCUCCAUAUUGAAUCUCAAGAAAUAGAGAAUAUGACUCUGUAAUUGUCAUGACACAAUUUUGGAUGACAUUUAAAGAGUUCAGGAAAAAAACUUAUUUUCAUUAAAAGACGACAUUUCUAACCUAAUGCUGCAAGGAUGUCCCAGGAGUCAUGAGCUCUUGGGGUCAAUAAUGGUAAGGAAUCACAUUGCUCUUAUGUAGGUAAUGAGAGACGAACUAAAAUUCUUCUCCACUUCUUGAAUAACACCCCACUUUACUCUUUCGUUCAUCCACAAUUAUGGCAUGCCUCGAUGACAUUCCGAGAUGCUUCGAUUAUUGGAAGAGUGUGCUUGACUGCAAUGUAGUUCUUGCAGCAUUUCCGUAAGGAAAUAGCUUUGUUGGUCACAUCCACAAUGCCACACCACAAUUGCUGGUUAUUCACACCUCAGUUUCCUUUCUUCUUAUUGAAGUGAUGUUCACUUUCGUGUUCUGUUUUCAUUGUUAACCAUAUGUUAGGUUUAUAGCAAUUAAGUCGCAAGACAUUUACGUUUUGUUACAUCUUAAGCCUUAUGUGUAAUUGUUGUGAUCUCUCUUU